This 263-nucleotide long non-coding RNA is filed under the name Apteryx rowi (Okarito brown kiwi). RNAcentral describes it as "lncRNA (ENSARWG00000018203.1)". Lineage: Eukaryota; Metazoa; Chordata; Aves; Apterygiformes; Apterygidae. The record is from RNAcentral.
CUUCAAGGAGGUCUGUGUGCUUAAGAGGAUAAUGACCUUGAAUCCUAAACUUGAAUGGUCUGACUCGCUCCUCAGGCACUGAAAUGUGCUGUAUCAGAUCCAAUGGCAGUGGGAGUAACAGAAGGCUUAUAAAAGGCAGAACGUAACAGUUCUAGCUGCAUUAUACUCCCAUUGCACCCGUGUGGAAGAAGACAACACUGAAAGCAGAGCCUGGACAGUCAGUUUUCUUGAGUGCCCUCAUGGACCUUGAGACCACAUUUCUG